Molecule: long non-coding RNA, 332 nt
Organism: Bos indicus x Bos taurus (hybrid cattle)
Lineage: Eukaryota; Metazoa; Chordata; Mammalia; Artiodactyla; Bovidae
Source: Ensembl
UGUGUCAGUUAUGAAGUAGGUUGAAAAUAUGGAAUAAGUGUGUAUCCAUCUCACCUUCCCUUCCAGAUGCCACUGGAUUUAGAUGAGGAGCUCCUUGGAGACAGAGACUCACUCCCUGCUUGUCCAGGACCAGUUUAUCAACACAAAAUUAAUUGUCUCUACACCUGUUCAUUUCAUGGGGAGACUGAAAAUAAGAAGAUAAUCUCUGUAGACUUCCAAAGGGAACUGUGCCUUCAUCAUUCCAUAUGACCCUGACGGCUGUGCCCUCCUCAGCCAGUGAGAGAACCUGUGACUCCUGGAAAUAAACUUGGCAAGUAAAUGAUGAGAAUACA